This 454-nucleotide ribosomal RNA is filed under the name uncultured Prevotella sp. Its description in RNAcentral is "partial 16S ribosomal RNA". It matches the Rfam family "Bacterial small subunit ribosomal RNA", at positions 341 to 792 of the family's 1533-position model. Lineage: Bacteria; Pseudomonadati; Bacteroidota; Bacteroidia; Bacteroidales; Prevotellaceae. The record is from RNAcentral.
ACGGAAGGCAGCAGUGAGGAAUAUUGGUCAAUGGUCGGAAGACUGAACCAGCCAAGUAGCGUGCGGGAAGACGGCCCUAUGGGUUGUAAACUGCUUUUGCGCGUGAUUAAAGUGCGGUACUAGUACCGUUUUGCAGUUAGCGCGCGAAUAAGGACCGGCUAAUUCCGUGCCAGCAGCCGCGGUAAUACGGAAGGUCCUGGUGUUAUCCGGAUUUAUUGGGUUUAAAGGGAGCGUAGGCGGUCAGUUAAGCGUGCUGUGAAAUAGCGGGGCCCAACCCCGUCCCUGCAGCGCGAACUGGUUGACUUGGGUACACGCAAGGCAGGCGGAAUUUGUGGUGUAGCGGUGAAAUGCUUAGAGAUCACGAAGAACCCCGAUUGCGAAGGCAGCUUGCCGGAGUGUCACCGACGCUGAAGCUCGAAGGUGCGGGUAUCGAACAGGAUUAGAUACCCUGGUA